RNAcentral lists this ribosomal RNA (459 nucleotides) under uncultured bacterium. Its description in RNAcentral is "partial 16S ribosomal RNA". It matches the Rfam family "Bacterial small subunit ribosomal RNA", at positions 338 to 795 of the family's 1533-position model. The record is from RNAcentral.
CCUACGGGUGGCAGCAGUGAGGAAUAUUGGUCAAUGGACGAGAGUCUGAACCAGCCAAGUAGCGUGAAGGAUGACUGCCCUAUGGGUUGUAAACUUCUUUUAUAAAGGAAUAAAACGAUGCACGUGUGCCUUUUUGCAUGUACUUUAUGAAUAAGGAUCGGCAAAUCCCGUGCCAGCAGCCGCGGUAAUAGGGAGGUUCCGAGGGUUAUCCGGAUUUUUGGGGUUUAAAGGGGGGGCAGGGGGAUUUUUAAGUCAGGGGUAAAAUCGUGGGGCUCAACCCCAUCCAGCCGUUGAAACUGGGGAUGUAGAGUGUGAGAGAGGUAUGGGGGAAGCGUGGUGUAGCGGUGAAAGGCAAAGAUAUCAAGAAGAACCCCGGUUGCGAAGGCAGCAUCCCGGUGCACAACUGACGCUCAGGCACGAAAGCGUGGGUAUCGAACAGGAUUAGAUACCCCUGUAGUC